This 427-nucleotide ribosomal RNA is filed under the name uncultured bacterium. RNAcentral describes it as "partial 16S ribosomal RNA". It matches the Rfam family "Bacterial small subunit ribosomal RNA", at positions 354 to 796 of the family's 1533-position model. The record is from RNAcentral.
GUGGGGAAUAUUGGGCAAUGGGGGCAACCCUGACCCAGCGACGCCGCGUGAGGGAAGAAGGCCUUAGGGUCGUAAACCUCUGUUGUGUGGGAAGAAGGAAGUGACGGUACCACACGAGGAAGUCCCGGCUAACUACGUGCCAGCAGCCGCGGUAAUACGUAGGGGACGAGCGUUGUCCGGAAUUACUGGGCGUAAAGGGCGCGUAGGCGGUCAUUUAAGUCAGCUGUGAAAUGGUCCGGCUCAACCGGAUCAUGCGGUUGAAACUGGAUGACUGGAGUGCUGGAGAGGAAAGUGGAAUUCCCAGUGUAGCGGUGAAAUGCGUAGAUAUUGGGAAGAACACCGGUGGCGAAGGCGACUUGCUGGCCAGCAACUGACGCUGAGGCGCGAAAGCCAGGGGAGCAAACGGGAUUAGAAACCCGAGUAGUCC